RNAcentral lists this small nuclear RNA (62 nucleotides) under Cebus imitator (Panamanian white-faced capuchin). RNAcentral's name for it is "U7 small nuclear RNA (ENSCCAG00000000500.1)". It matches the Rfam family "U7 small nuclear RNA". Rfam says of the family: Animal histone pre-mRNAs are spliced by a different mechanism than nuclear pre-mRNAs and self-splicing introns. This processing involves the U7 snRNP, which contains only one RNA species: U7. The record is from Rfam by way of RNAcentral. Lineage: Eukaryota; Metazoa; Chordata; Mammalia; Primates; Cebidae.
UAGUGUUACAUCUCUUUUAGAAUUUGUCUAGCAGGCAUUCCAGUUUUUACUAGAAAGCCCCU